RNAcentral lists this ribosomal RNA (157 nucleotides) under Terfezia boudieri. RNAcentral's name for it is "5.8S ribosomal RNA". It matches the Rfam family "5.8S ribosomal RNA". Rfam says of the family: 5.8S ribosomal RNA (5.8S rRNA) is a component of the large subunit of the eukaryotic ribosome. It is transcribed by RNA polymerase I as part of the 45S precursor that also contains 18S and 28S rRNA. Lineage: Eukaryota; Fungi; Ascomycota; Pezizomycetes; Pezizales; Pezizaceae. The record is from RNAcentral.
UAAAACUUUCAACAACGGAUCUCUAGGCUCUUGCAUCGAUGAAGAACGCAGUGAAAUGCGAUAAGUAAUGUGAAUUGCAGAAUCUCGUGAAUCAUUGAAUCUUUGAACGCACAUUGCGCCCUAUGGUAUUCCAUUGGGCAUGCCUGUCUGAGCGUCA